UGCAAUAUAUUUACCUGGAAAAGUACCUGCAUACAUCAGCAAUCUCAUGAGCAUAUAAGGUAGCCCUUCCCCCUCCUCUUGUUCACAGCCCCUACUGACUAUGGAAGAUGCAUGGCUUGAGCAUCUACAUAGUUCUUGAGAGCAGAAGCAUGAUGAGGAUGAACCACAAAGCUGAGCUCCUGCUAAAGAAGCGCUUCAGUUUUAUGGUUCCUUUCCUGAGCUUCCAGGUGGUUGUCUGAGGUACGCACGAACCGGCAAGUCACAAAACGGCAAUGGUGAACUCCAGCAGGAGUCUGCCCCCCUUUUUUCCUUUCCCGUCCUUCCAGUUGUAUCAGGUCGGAGUCAAAUAAUCAGAAGCAUCUGCGUGUGAUGAAUCCAUGAAUUCUUCGCUGUUGAGUUGAUGUUUGUUUUAUGUACACUGGAAAAACUAGUAUAACUGACAGCUGUUUAUCCAGUAAAAAUACUUUCUGUUGUCUCAUUUGAUUCUCUUGGCUAUUGUCUUACUGAUUAGCAGCUUGGUGUAUAUGUUGCUUCCAAACAAAUUUGUGUAUGUUGGGUAUGCAGAAUAUGCCACAUAUAAUUUGAAUAUAUCUUGUAAUGUUUCAAUAUGUCAAUCCUACUGAGAUCUGUGCUGCUACAAUAUAUUCUAAUUAUUUUAUUACUAUGACGAAGCCAUAUGUUUCCACGAAGACAGAAAUUUCUGUUUUUAUGUGAGAUGAAAACCAGUUAUCCGAAAAAUGACAGUAAGAUCUAGAAGAGAAGUGAUGAUAAGUGUUCUCUUCUGGCUGCGUGGGAGAGUUGUUCGUAUCUUCUAUACUGAUCCUGAAUGAUUUACUGAAAGAAGUUCAGCCAUGGCGCUAGCAAGUACUAGUACUUUGCCUGGAACUGAAGAAACCUAUCAUGCAUUCUCUUUAUUUUACCGACUCACGAAGGUUAGACCAUGCCAAAGGGACUUCCAUGCAGUGUAAAAAUUGAAAAGACAACUAGACAAGUACCCUGAUCUGGGAACGUGUAUUCCGCAUUUCCACCAUGCAAUGAGCCAAGAAGGAACCUUUGCCUGCCUGAAGUAGCGAAGCAUACAGCAGUUGAUUCCACGUAUCUGGCACACCUGGCAGGCACCAGUGGCUGCAGUCCUGCUUUGUGAUCGCCGCCAUCCGUUCCUCCUCCGUGUCGUACCGCACUCUGUACACCGACGGGUGACCGUCUUUCCGGUAAUCGGUGAGCCUGCUGAUAUUGAGGUGUAUCACAGGGGUCUUCAUCUUGCUCAGCACCUGAUCCAGGAUCCUCAUCUUCUCAGGGUACUCGGUGAGUGAAAUUGGCCGUGAGAAGAAGAUGAAGAAGGUACUGCCGUUGACCUGACGGCGGGGUGCCAACCUCUUACCUGAAGUGUGUCAGUGAAUAUCCUCUGAACACAACCUGAGUUCUUGUCGAGUCGAUGUUCUUGUCGACCCACCUAGCCCAUGUGGUUAGCCCUCUCUUGUAUGCAUCCAUCACCUCAAGGCUUGGAUGCACAUGGUUGCCUUCCUGAUAAUAGUUCACCCUAUGCAGUCACAAAAACUUCACCAAUCAGGAUGGAAACUGAUAUUUUGGCUAGCAGAUCAGUUUUCAUAUAGAGCUUGGGUUCUGGGGGAAUUGUUAGGUAGGUACCCCUUUGAUGUUUUUGCGUGAGUCCACCAGUGCCCGGUGUUGAAGACGACGAUGUCAGCGGUCAGGUACGCUGGGGUUGUUGCAUCUAGCUCAUCCAGCCUCAGUUUCGCGUCCAGCACGGUACCGUUUUUGCUCUCCCGAACCACCUCAUUGACCAGAAAUAUCGAUCUUAUGAAAUCAACAGAACAAUUGUAGUCCUGCAAUCAAGUAAAACUGUAAAUGUUCAUAGCUCU
Molecule: long non-coding RNA, 1880 nt
Organism: Lolium perenne
Lineage: Eukaryota; Viridiplantae; Streptophyta; Magnoliopsida; Poales; Poaceae
Source: RefSeq, a predicted model, not a curated record